UACGUAGGGUGCGAGCGUUGUCCGGAAUUAUUGGGCGUAAAGAGCUCGUAGGCGGUGUGUCACGUCGGCCGUGAAAACCUGGGGCUCAACCCCAGGCUUGCGGUCGAUACGGGCAGGCUCGAGUUCGGUAGGGGAGACUGGAAUUCCUGGUGUAGCGGUGAAAUGCGCAGAUAUCAGGAGGAACACCGGUGGCGAAGGCGGCUCUCUGGAACGCAACUGACGCUGAGACGCGAAAGCGUGGGGAGCAAACAGG
This 253-nucleotide ribosomal RNA is filed under the name uncultured bacterium. Its description in RNAcentral is "partial 16S ribosomal RNA". It matches the Rfam family "Bacterial small subunit ribosomal RNA", at positions 524 to 776 of the family's 1533-position model. The record is from RNAcentral.